UGUCAUGUCAUGUCAUGUCAUGUCAUGUCAUGUCAUGUCAUGUCAUGUCAUGUCAUGUCAUGUCAUGUCAUGUCAUGUCAUGUCAUUUCAUGUCAUGUCAUGUCAUGUCAUGUCAUGUCAUGUCAUGUCAUGUCAUGUCAUGUCAUGUCAUGUCAUGUCAUGUCAUGUCAUGUCA
Molecule: non-coding RNA, 175 nt
Organism: Paramuricea clavata
Lineage: Eukaryota; Metazoa; Cnidaria; Anthozoa; Malacalcyonacea; Plexauridae
Source: the annotation of a GenBank genome assembly